Molecule: ribosomal RNA, 505 nt
Filed under: uncultured bacterium
Lineage: Bacteria
Description: partial 16S ribosomal RNA
Rfam family: Bacterial small subunit ribosomal RNA
Source: RNAcentral
GACGAACGCUGGCGGCGUGCCUAAUACAUGCAAGUAGAGCGCACAGUUUAUACCGUAGCUUGCUACACAGUAGACUGUGAGUUGCGAACGGGUGAGUAACGCGUAGGUAACCUGCCUGGUAGCGGUGGAUAACUCCUGGACACGUUAGCUAUUACCGCAUAAUAUUAAUUAUUUCAUGAUAAUUAACUGAAAUGUGCAAUUGCAUUACUACCAGAUGGACCUGCGUUGUAUUAGCUAGUAGGUCAGGUAACGGCUCACCUAAGCGACGAUACAUAGCCGACCUGGGAGGGUGGUCGGCCAAACUGGGACUGAGACACGGCCCAGACUCCCACGGGAGGCAGCAGUAGGGAAUCUUCGGCAAUGGACGAAAGUCUGACCGAACAACGCCGCGUGGGUGAAGGAGGUUUUCCGAUCGUAAAGCUUUGUUGUAAGGGAAGAACGGGUGUGGGAGUGGAAAGUUCACACUGUGACGGUAUCUUACCAGAAAGGGACGGCUAACUACGUG